This 466-nucleotide ribosomal RNA is filed under the name uncultured bacterium. RNAcentral describes it as "partial 16S ribosomal RNA". It matches the Rfam family "Bacterial small subunit ribosomal RNA", at positions 28 to 507 of the family's 1533-position model. The record is from RNAcentral.
GAUGAACGCUGGCGGCGUGCUUAACACAUGCAAGUCGAACGAUGAAGCCCAGCUUGCUGGGUGGAUUAGUGGCGAACGGGUGAGUAACACGUGAGUAACCUGCCCUUAACUCUGGGAUAAGCCUGGAAAACUGGGUAUAAUACCGGAUAGGAGCGUCCACCGCAUGGUGGGUGUUGGAAAGAUUUAUCGGUUUUGGAUGGACUCGCGGCCUAUCAGCUUGUUGGUGAGGUAAUGGCUCACCAAGGCGACGACGGGUAGCCGGCCUGAGAGGGUGACCGGCCACACUGGGACUGAGACACGGACCAGACUCCUACGGGAGGCAGCAGUGGGGAAUAUUGCACAAUGGGCGAAAGUCUGAUGCAGCGACGCCGCGUGAGGGAUGACGGCCUUCGGGUUGUAAAACUCUUUCAGUAGGGAAGAAGCGAAAGUGACGGUACCUGCAGAAGAAGCACCGGCUAACUACGUG